AACACUACCAAACCUGAUCCAUAUUUCAAAACCCAGCCCAAAUUAAUAAAAAACAACCCAGUCCAUAUUAUUUCAGAAAGGUUAAUCCGGUUUGCCAUUGGUUUAGGACUGGUUUAUUCAUUUUUUUUCACAAACUCACUACUUUAGUCUUCAACCAAGUUAGAUACGAGUUAUAUACGCACUUGAAUGGCAAACGCGAUAGAAGUAGUGUUGCGAUUCACAAACGUGAUUUCAUAGGCUAAAUCAGAAACACGCUUUCAUAAAUUCAAUUCUCAUAAACGCGAUUCAUUGGCUUCUCGAGAAAGUGUUUUUCUUCUUUCUACAAAGAUCUCACGAGAAAUCAUGUAAAGUGAAGAAAUCACGUGAAGGAUCAAGGGUAUGAAUAUUGAAGAUCAAUGGUACUUAAAAGGUUAUUGAAGACAAUACAAAAUGAAGAAAAUUCAUUUUAAGUUCCUAGGAGUUUUCGAACAGAAGAACGAUAGAAAACGAGACGAACACACAAGAUUAGGUCAUGCACCAUUAGCGCGCGAGGCAGUGUUUCCACUUCCCCAUGCGCCUCCUGUGCACAGCCGCGGGCAGAAAUUGCAUGCAGCUAUAAAUAGAGACCCUUUCUCACAUUAUUGUUCAUUUAUAAAGCUAGCGGUUUAAGGCAAGGGUCAAACAUUAGAGUUCCAAGGAAGGGGAUCUCCAUCCUCCUCUUGUUCUCUCUAGGGUAUGUUUUUAUAUUGUUUUGUAAUGAUGUUUUGUUGCCAUGAGCAACUAAACCUCUUUGAUUAGAGUUAUAAGAUGAACCCCUUCUUAUUUGUUGGAUUCAAUUAAUAAAGUUUCUAUUUAGUUA
This is a long non-coding RNA of Medicago truncatula (barrel medic), 838 nucleotides long. RefSeq lists it as uncharacterized. The record is from RefSeq and is a predicted model, not a curated record. The transcript has 2 exons. Lineage: Eukaryota; Viridiplantae; Streptophyta; Magnoliopsida; Fabales; Fabaceae.